CAAUUUCUGAUGAUUAUGUUGUUUACUUGCAGGAACAUGAUUUUGAUGCUGACUCAUCAUCUGAUCCUAUUACCUUUCAAGAGGCCAUCAGUUGUUCAGAAUCCUCAUCUUGGAUACAUGCGAUGCAUGAUGAGAUGGCAUCUAUGUAUCAUAAUGGGGUUUGGGAUUUAGUUGAGUUGCCAGAUGGAUACAGGCCAAUUGGUUGCAAAUGGGUUUUCAAAACCAAAAGAGAUGUCAGAGGUCAGGUAGAGAGGUACAAGGCCAGGCUUGUGGCUAAGGGUUUCAGUCAAAGAGAAGGCAUUGAUUACACUGAAACCUACUCUCCUGUUUCUACCAAAGACUCUUUUCGUAUUAUCAUGGCAUUGGUAGCUCAUUUCAAUUUAGAAUUGCAUCAGAUGGAUGUGAAGACAGCUUUUCUCAAUGGGAGCUUGUCUGAAGAUGUAUACAUGGUGCAACCUGAUGGUUUUGUUGAGUCUGGUAGAGAAAACAUGGUGUGUAAGCUUAAAAGGUCCAUUUAUGGACUUAAGCAAGCAUCCAGACAGUGGUAUUUGAAAUUUCACGAUAUUGUCACCUCUUAUGGGUUCCAAGAGAAUGCCGUUGAUCAGUGUAUAUACUUGAGAGUCGUCUGACAUUAAGAGAAGAACGUGUGGUUUUGCCUAUUCCAUCUUUUCCGACUUCUGCGAUGGGAUUACCACAUAUUGAUGAUUCUUCUGUUGAUCCUGAACUUCAUCAUAAUAUGGAGCCUAUGAUUGUAGAGGAUGAUGGUACUGAUGUGCCAUUGAGGAGAUCAGAGAGGAUCAGGAGACCUGCAAUUUCUGAUGAUUAUGUUGUUUACUUGCAGGAGCAUGAUUUUGAUGCUGACUCUUCAUCUGAUCCUAUUACCUUUCAAGAGGCCAUCAGUUGUUCAGAAUCAUCAUCUUGGAUACAUGCGAUGCAUGAUGAGAUGGCAUCUAUGUAUCAUAAUGGGGUUUGGGAUUUAGUUGAGUUACCAGAUGGAUGCAGACCAAUUGGUUGCAAAUGGGUUUUCAAAACCAAAAGAGAUGCCAGAGGUCAGGUAGAGAGGUAUAAGGCCAGGCUUGUGGCUAAGGGUUUUAGUAAAAAAGAAGGCAUUGAUUACACUGAAACCUACUCUCCUGUUUCUACCAAAGACUCUUUUCGUAUUAUCAUGGCAUUGGUAGCUCAUUUCAAUUUAGAAUUGCAUCAGAUGGAUGUGAAGACAGCUUUUCUUAAUGGGAGCUUGUCUGAAGAUGUAUACAUGGUGCAAC
This 1265-nucleotide long non-coding RNA is filed under the name Citrus sinensis (sweet orange). RNAcentral describes it as "long non-coding RNA (CSIN_LNC002060)". The record is from RNAcentral. Lineage: Eukaryota; Viridiplantae; Streptophyta; Magnoliopsida; Sapindales; Rutaceae.